CAGUCGCCGCGGUAAUACGGAGGGUGCAAGCGUUAAUCGGAAUUACUGGGCGUAAAGCGCACGCAGGCGGUUUGUUAAGUCAGAUGUGAAAUCCCCGGGCUCAACCUGGGAACUGCAUUUGUGACUGGCAAGCUAGAGUCAGGCAGAGGGGGGUGGAAUUCCGCGUGUAGCAGUGAAAUGCGUAGAUAUGCGGAGGAACACCGAUGGCGAAGGCAGCCCCCUGGGCCAACACUGACGCUCAUGCACGAAAGCGUGGGGAGCAAGCAGGAUUAGAUACCCGUGUAGUCCCUGUCUCUUAUAC
RNAcentral lists this ribosomal RNA (301 nucleotides) under uncultured bacterium. RNAcentral's name for it is "partial 16S ribosomal RNA". It matches the Rfam family "Bacterial small subunit ribosomal RNA", at positions 509 to 807 of the family's 1533-position model. The record is from RNAcentral.